RNAcentral lists this transfer RNA (62 nucleotides) under Ptomaphagus julius. Its description in RNAcentral is "tRNA-Leu". The record is from RNAcentral. Lineage: Eukaryota; Metazoa; Arthropoda; Insecta; Coleoptera; Leiodidae.
AUAUUGAUUUGGCAGAUUAGUGCAUUAAAUUUAGAAUUUAAAUAUGUAUGUUACAGUCAAUA